RNAcentral lists this ribosomal RNA (588 nucleotides) under uncultured archaeon. RNAcentral describes it as "bacterial SSU rRNA". It matches the Rfam family "Archaeal small subunit ribosomal RNA", at positions 47 to 643 of the family's 1478-position model. The record is from RNAcentral.
AGCCAUGCGAGUCGACAUAGCAAUAUGUGGCAUACGGCUCAGUAACACGUAGUCAACAUGCCCAGGGGACGUGGAUAACCUCGGGAAACUGAGGAUAAACCGCGAUAGGUCAUCACUUCUGGAAUGGGUAAUGACUUAAACCUAUAUGGCCCCUGGAUUGGACUGCGGCCGAUCAGGCUGUUGGUGAGGUAAUGGCCCACCAAACCUGUAACCGGUACGGGCUCUGAGAGGAGGAGCCCGGAGAUGGGCACUGAGACAAGGGCCCAGGCCCUAUGGGGCGCAGCAGGCGCGAAACCUCCGCAAUAGGCGAAAGCCUGACAGGGUUACUCUGAGUGAUGCCCGUUAAGGGUAUCUUUUGGCACCUCUAAAAAUGGUGCAGAAUAAGGGGUGGGCAAGUCUGGUGUCAGCCGCCGCGGUAAUACCAGCACCCCGAGUGGUCGGGACGAUUAUUGGGCCUAAAGCAUCCGUAGCCUGUUCUGCAAGUCCUCCGUUAAAUCCACCCGCUUAACGGAUGGGCCGCGGGGGAUACUACAGGGCUAGGAGGCGGGAGAGGCAAGCGGUACUCGAUGGGUAGGGGUAAAAUCCACU